This 73-nucleotide transfer RNA is filed under the name Agrilus planipennis (emerald ash borer). It matches the Rfam family "tRNA". From Rfam's summary of the family: Transfer RNA (tRNA) molecules are approximately 80 nucleotides in length. Their secondary structure includes four short double-helical elements and three loops (D, anti-codon, and T loops). Lineage: Eukaryota; Metazoa; Arthropoda; Insecta; Coleoptera; Buprestidae. The record is from Rfam by way of RNAcentral.
CCUCUCAUAGCUUAGUGGUGAAAGCAUUGGUGAGUAAAACCAAAGGUCCCGGGUUCGGCUCCCGGCGGGGGUG